UGUGUGUUCAACAUCGCUUUAUUCACAUUUCCACGCACACUCAUGACACAGUCGUGCUCACAGGCGCCGGAUGCUGCCGCACAAACAGCUGUCACGACUCCCUCCCUCAGCUGUGUGUGUGCUGUCGACCCAGAAAGGCUCUUCUUUUUGCAACUAUAGUCUCCAUCACCCUCCAACCCCCUCCAGCCGCCAUGCUCCCCGUCUCUCUCCCCUCACACUCGAACUGAACGAGAAAUGCUGACAAACAGAAGCUCUGCUGCACAAACCGAGAGCUGUCAUGUACUCAGCAGAGAGGCGAGAGUAUAAAAAAGCGUCCAAACGCUGACAGUCAUCCUGCAGCUGCUCUAAUUCUUUGACACAAGUGGAGGGAUCGAAGCCAACGUGACAUGGAGGGGAGCAAGGAGCAGCAAGUUGUGUAACAAAUUCAAAAGAGGGUGAAAUUUACAGUAAAUCCAACAAGAUGUUUAAGAGUCACAUUUACAAAAGUACAGGGAGGAUAUCUGACACAGUUUUUACAGAAUGAUCCGCAAAAAAAUAACUUUACAUCAGGAUAUUAGAGCACAAUAAAACGACACUGGAAAUCUAACAGACGUAUUUUUACGCACAAACAAUUACACAAACUUUCAGACUAAAAUAAACAAACACACACAUGAAGCAUGAAGAGGUUGUACGUUUUUCCAGAGUAGAGUACAUUUUUUUUCUACUGUAUAGUCGUGUAUCAAAGCUGUAUAUUUAUAUGUUUAAUUAAAAAACUCACAGUCUGAAAUAUGGAGCUCAUUUUUACGCACAAACAUCAGCAAAAGAGUUCUCUCUAAAAAUAGCACACACUCACACACACAGUCACACACGUGAAGCAUGGAGAGGUAAGUUUUUUCAGGGUGUAGUACAUUUUUUGUACUGUAUAGUUGUGUAUCAUGGCUGUACAUACUUUUAAUUAAAAAACUCACAGUCUGAAAUAUGGAGCUCAUUUUUACGCACAAACAUCAGCAGAAAUGUUCUCUCUAAAAAUAGCACACACUCACACACACAGUCACACACGUGAAGCAUGGAGAGGUUGUAAGUUUUUCCAGAGUACAUUUUUCUCUUGUAUAGUUGUGUAUCAUAGCUGCACACAUAUCGUUUCAUUAAAAAACUCACAACCUAUAAUUUGGAGCUCAUUUUUAGGCACAAAUAAUUACACAAACUUUCAGACUAAAAUAAACACACAGACACAAACACACAGUCAUACACGUGAAGCAUGAAGAGGUUGUAAGUUUUUUUCCAGAGUACAUUUUUGUACUGUAUAGUUGUGUAUCAAAGCUGUAUAUU
Molecule: non-coding RNA, 1308 nt
Organism: Xyrichtys novacula (pearly razorfish)
Lineage: Eukaryota; Metazoa; Chordata; Actinopteri; Labriformes; Labridae
Source: the annotation of a GenBank genome assembly